GACGAACGCUGGCGGCGUGCCUAAUACAUGCAAGUAGAACGCAGUUGGGAACGGGUGAGUAACGCGUAGGUAACUGCCCCAUAGCGGGGGAUAACUAUUGGAAACGAUAGCCAAUACCGCAUACAGUGAGAUGGAUCUGCGUUGUAUUAGCUUGUUGGGGAGGUAAAGGCCGACCAAGGCGACGAUACAUAGGCGAGCUGAGAGGGAGAACAGCCACACUGGGACCGAGACAAGGCCCAAACACCUCCGGGGUGCAGCUGUAGGGAAACAUCGGCAAUGGACGGAAGUCUGACCGAGCCACGCCGCGGGAGUGAAGAAGGUUUUCGGAGCUUAAAGCUCUGUUCUUAGAGAAGCGUUAACUAACCAGAAAGGGCCGGCUAACUACGUGCCAGCAGCCGCGGUAAUAC
RNAcentral lists this ribosomal RNA (407 nucleotides) under uncultured bacterium. Its description in RNAcentral is "partial 16S ribosomal RNA". It matches the Rfam family "Bacterial small subunit ribosomal RNA", at positions 28 to 526 of the family's 1533-position model. The record is from RNAcentral.